CGUCAAACAUCGAGCAUCGUGAUGCUAAGGCCGUGAAGCCGCCCUGAUCUCUUCGGAGUUGAGGGGAGUGGUGGAGCCGCCGAACCAAGCGGUUAGUAGGUGAGUGAU
Molecule: ribosomal RNA, 108 nt
Filed under: Streptomyces griseoruber
Lineage: Bacteria; Bacillati; Actinomycetota; Actinomycetes; Kitasatosporales; Streptomycetaceae
Description: 23S ribosomal RNA
Source: RNAcentral